Myxocyprinus asiaticus (Chinese sucker) is the source of this 1300-nucleotide long non-coding RNA. RefSeq lists it as uncharacterized. Lineage: Eukaryota; Metazoa; Chordata; Actinopteri; Cypriniformes; Catostomidae. The transcript is spliced from 3 exons. The record is from RefSeq and is a predicted model, not a curated record.
UACAAAUAAAAAAAAAAACCACAAAUUAAAUCAAAAUAAUUUCACAUGAAAUUCACGCUGAAAUCUUCGAACAACAACUGUAUUGUCUUCCUCUUUGAUUUAGUUCCUCCAAAAGAACCAGAGAAAUACAGGUAUAUGUGCUGUUGGUUCAGUUUCCUUCCGUCCAACUCGGCAACGACAAUGUUAUUCAAUCACAACUCGAUGUUAGCUCCUUGUGGCUCGCCAGUCCCAACUCCCUCCACGAAUGCAGGAAUUUGAACGAAUACUAGAAGUCCAAGAACUACACUCCGGUAAACGUCGCUUCAAUGUAACGUCAGCUCAUCAGCACACAGCAUUCACCAGGCAGGAAGAUGAUGAAACCAAAUCCAAACAAAUAAUAAACAGGAAAAAACCUGACCUUGAAUACAAGGUCACAAAACCAUCAUUAGUAAUGUUUUCGUGAUACACAUGCAUCACAUCAAUUACCGCAGUUCAACUCAAUAUCAAAAUGGCCAUUAUAUUUUACAUACGAACAUGUAAGCAUGCGUUCAUCUCAUGUGGCCUCACAUCCUACAUUCACAAUUAAUAAAGGAAACUUAUAUACAACUCUCUUUCAUUUUACAUUUCAGUUAUAUGAACAUUCUACAACAGAUUAGUACAUGAAAUAACAGUUUUAACUCACCAAGGCCACUGAUGAACUUGACCGUUUUAAUCCCUGUAACUCCAAAGGAACUCCAUUUCCACUUGGUCUUUUGCUCAAACAUCUCAUAAAAAUUAAAUUCUCACUAUAAACUCUUUAUUGUCUUCAUAAAACAACUUUUAAUGCAUUAGUAACGCGUUAUGCGUUAACGAGGCUUCUUCUCAGCAGCCGCGUAAUUCUUAGCAACUAAAUAAACAGUCUCUUUUCACACUAAAUAUUCCAUUUUCACAUGUAAAAUUGUGUCUAAAUAAAUCUCACUUCAAUAUUUACCUAAUAUGCUAUUUGACUAAUCAAAUUCUCACAUUUCUUCAGAGUGGAAUGAAAGUGGAGAGAAAAAAAACUCAACCGCAUGCGAAUUCCAGAAAAUGAAAAUGCGCUAAACAACAUUCUCAAUUAUCAUUGGUCAGUUCUCCCAGUUUUAGUGUACACCUUGUGCGCAACAAUGAUCUGGCAGUUCACAGAAACUCGCCGUUGCAACUUCCCAGGAUUCACUCUCAGGGUGGGUCAGCGGCUAGAGCAAGAUUGGCUGUUUGGAUAAAUCACAUUUGCAGCACUGAUCCAGACUCUAAUUGGUCAAGUUUAUCUGCAAUAUGUUUUUACAUAUAUUUGCAAGUAUUAAUA